Molecule: unclassified non-coding RNA, 373 nt
Filed under: uncultured Gammaproteobacteria bacterium
Lineage: Bacteria; Pseudomonadati; Pseudomonadota; Gammaproteobacteria
Description: contains 16S-23S intergenic spacer region
Source: RNAcentral
UCCGGUUUGUCACCGGCAGUCUCCCUAGAGUGCCCUUGCGUAGCAACUAGGGACAAGGGUUGCGCUCGUUGCGGGACUUAACCCAACAUCUCACGACACGAGCUGACGACAGCCAUGCAGCACCUGUGUUCCGAUUCCCUUUCGGGCACUCCCACCUCUCAGCAGGAUUCCGGACAUGUCAAACCCAGGUAAGGUUCUUCGCGUUGCAUCGAAUUAAUCCACAUGCUCCGCCGCUUGUGCGGGUCCCCGUCAAUUCCUUUGAGUUUUAAUCUUGCGACCGUACUCCCCAGGCGGUCAACUUCACGCGUUAGCUUCGUUACCAAGGGAAUUAAUCCCCCGACAACCAGUUGACAUAGUUUAGGGCGUGGACUAC